Molecule: long non-coding RNA, 328 nt
Filed under: Androctonus crassicauda
Lineage: Eukaryota; Metazoa; Arthropoda; Arachnida; Scorpiones; Buthidae
Source: RNAcentral
GGUUGAUUUGUUACAGUAUCUUUCCAUUUUCUUUGUAAAAGUCCAUGUUUCACAGCUAUAUGUCAUUACUAGUAAUAUACACAUGUUGAAGAGUUUCCUUUGGAAGCAUAUUGGUAUUCUGUUAACCCUUAGGAAGUUGCUGUGUCAGCCGAUUGCAUGCCAUCUCAAUUGCAUCCUAUGUGGAAUUUCUCUCAUCUUUUCUCCCUGUAUUGUGAUUACUUGUGUCCUAAAUAUUCAUAUUUUUCCACUCUUUCAAUUGUUCAGCCUCCUAUCACUGGUUGUGGAUUUACUUCUAUAUUGAACAUUAUCUUCUCGUAAUUCAUUGGUA